RNAcentral lists this ribosomal RNA (648 nucleotides) under Triticum aestivum (bread wheat). RNAcentral's name for it is "partial small subunit ribosomal RNA". The record is from RNAcentral. Lineage: Eukaryota; Viridiplantae; Streptophyta; Magnoliopsida; Poales; Poaceae.
AUGGCUACAUCAGAACCGGUACAGGAAAGCUGGGAGCUGGAACCCAGUAGGCCUCGGGUCCUCCUUGCUGCUUCAGGGAGUGUAGCUGCUAUAAAAUUCGAGAGCCUCUGUCGUGUCUUCUCCGAGUGGGCGGAAGUCCGAGCUGUGGCGACCAAGUCAUCAUUGCACUUUAUUGAGAGAUCAUCUCUGCCUAGCGACGUCAUUCUUUACACUGAUGAUGAUGAGUGGUCUACCUGGACGAAGAUAGGAGACGAGGUUCUGCACAUAGAGCUGCGGAAGUGGGCAGACAUCAUGGUGAUCGCCCCCUUAUCAGCAAACACUCUGGCCAAGAUCGCUGGUGGGUUAUGCGACAACCUCCUGACAUGCAUAGUGCGGGCGUGGGACUACAAGAAGCCGAUCUUCGCCGCUCCAGCCAUGAACACCUUCAUGUGGAACAACCCGUUCACGGCGCGCCACAUCGAGACGAUCAACCAACUCGGGAUUUCCUUGGUCCCACCCACCACGAAGAGGCUGGCCUGCGGCGACUACGGGAACGGCGCGAUGGCUGAGCCUUCACAGAUCCAUACGACCGUGAGGCUCGCGUGCAAGUCACAUACGUUCGGCACGGGCAAUUCACCCGCGAUCCCUUCCAGCAGCCACCCUGUCUAG